This 201-nucleotide ribosomal RNA is filed under the name uncultured bacterium. RNAcentral describes it as "partial 16S ribosomal RNA". It matches the Rfam family "Bacterial small subunit ribosomal RNA", at positions 524 to 724 of the family's 1533-position model. The record is from RNAcentral.
UACGUAGGGCGCAAGCGUUAUCCGGAAUUAUUGGGCGUAAAGGGCUCGUAGGCGGCUUGUCGCGUCUGCCGUGAAAGUCCGGGGCUUAACCCCGGAUCUGCGGUGGGUACGGGCAGACUAGAGUGCAGGAGGGGAGAGUGGAAUUCCUGGUGUAGCGGUGAAAUGCGCAGAUAUCAGGAGGAAUACCGAUGGCGAAGGCGG